Molecule: ribosomal RNA, 245 nt
Filed under: uncultured bacterium
Lineage: Bacteria
Description: partial 16S ribosomal RNA
Rfam family: Bacterial small subunit ribosomal RNA
Source: RNAcentral
UACGGAAGGUGCAAGCGUUAGUCGGAAUUAUUGGGCGUAAAGGGUGCGUAGGCUGUUAUGAACGUUGAUGGUGAAAUACUGGGGCUCAACCUCAGCACUGCCUUCAAAACGGCAUAACUUAGAGGAAUGGCGGAGAAAAUGGAAUUCCAUAUGUAGCGGUGAAAUGCGUAGAUAUAUGGAAGAACACCUGUGGCGAAAGCGGUUUUCUAGCCUCCUCCUGACGCUGAGGCACGAAAGCAAGGGGA